CGCGGGAUUAGAGUUUGAUCACUGGCUCAGAUUGAACGCUGGCGGCAUGCCUAACACAUGCAAGUCGAACGGUAGCAGGCCUUCGGGUGCUGACGAGUGGCGGACGGGUGAGUAAUGCGUAGGAAUCUGUCUUUUAGUGGGGGACAACCCAGGGAAACUUGGGCUAAUACCGCAUGAGCCCUGAGGGGGAAAGCGGGGGAUCUUCGGACCUCGCGCUAAGAGAAGAGCCUACGUCUGAUUAGCUAGUUGGUAGGGUAAAGGCCUACCAAGGCGACGAUCAGUAGCUGGUCUGAGAGGACGACCAGCCACACUGGGACUGAGACACGGCCCAGACUCCUACGGGAGGCAGCAGUGGGGAAUUUUUCGCAAUGGGGGCAACCCUGACGAAGCAAUGCCGCGUGGAUGAAGAAGGCCUUCGGGUUGUAAAGUCCUUUCGUGGGGGACGAAAAGGUGGUUCCUAAUACGAGCUGCUGUUGACGUGAACCCAAGAAGAAGCACCGGCUAACUCCGUGCCAGCAGCCGCGGUAAUACGGGGGGUGCAAGCGUUAAUCGGAAUCACUGGGCGUAAAGGGUGCGUAGGCGGUACGUUAGGUCUGUCGUGAAAUCCCCGGGCUCAACCUGGGAAUGGCGGUAGAAACCGGCGAACUAGAGUAUGGGAGAGGGUGGUGGAAUUCCAGGUGUAGCGGUGAAAUGCGUAGAGAUCUGGAGGAACAUCAGUGGCGAAGGCGGCCACCUGGCCCAAUACUGACGCUGAGGCACGAAAGCGUGGGGAGCAAACAGGAUUAGAUACCCUGGUAGUCCACGCCCUAAACGAUGAAUACUAGAUGUUUGGUACCUAGCGUACUGAGUGUCGUAGCUAA
RNAcentral lists this ribosomal RNA (860 nucleotides) under uncultured Acidithiobacillus sp. Its description in RNAcentral is "bacterial SSU rRNA". It matches the Rfam family "Bacterial small subunit ribosomal RNA", at positions 1 to 855 of the family's 1533-position model. Lineage: Bacteria; Pseudomonadati; Pseudomonadota; Acidithiobacillia; Acidithiobacillales; Acidithiobacillaceae. The record is from RNAcentral.